UACAGAGGGUGCGAGCGUUGUCCGGAAUCAUUGGGCGUAAAGGGCGCGUAGGUGGCCACUUCAAGCGUGCGGUGAAAGUCGGGGGCUCAACCCCUGAUCGGCCGUGCGAACUGGGGGGCUGGAGCACUGUAGAGGCAGGCGGAAUUCCGGGUGUAGCGGUGGAAUGCGUAGAGAGUCCGGAAGAACACCGGUGGCGAAGGCGGCCUGCUGGGCAGUUUUGCUGACACUGAGGCGCGACAGCGUGGGGAGCAACAGG
Molecule: ribosomal RNA, 256 nt
Filed under: uncultured bacterium
Lineage: Bacteria
Description: partial 16S ribosomal RNA
Rfam family: Bacterial small subunit ribosomal RNA
Source: RNAcentral